This 1300-nucleotide ribosomal RNA is filed under the name Klebsiella pneumoniae. Its description in RNAcentral is "partial 23S ribosomal RNA". It matches the Rfam family "Bacterial large subunit ribosomal RNA", at positions 1649 to 2925 of the family's 2925-position model. The record is from RNAcentral. Lineage: Bacteria; Pseudomonadati; Pseudomonadota; Gammaproteobacteria; Enterobacterales; Enterobacteriaceae.
CCAAACCGACACAGGUGGUCAGGUAGAGAAUACCAAGGCGCUUGAGAGAACUCGGGUGAAGGAACUAGGCAAAAUGGUGCCGUAACUUCGGGAGAAGGCACGCUGGUGUGUAGGUGAAGUCCCUGCGGAUGGAGCUGAGACCAGUCGAAGAUACCAGCUGGCUGCAACUGUUUAUUAAAAACACAGCACUGUGCAAACACGAAAGUGGACGUAUACGGUGUGACGCCUGCCCGGUGCCGGAAGGUUAAUUGAUGGGGUUAUCCGUAAGGAGAAGCUCUUGAUCGAAGCCCCGGUAAACGGCGGCCGUAACUAUAACGGUCCUAAGGUAGCGAAAUUCCUUGUCGGGUAAGUUCCGACCUGCACGAAUGGCGUAAUGAUGGCCAGGCUGUCUCCACCCGAGACUCAGUGAAAUUGAACUCGCUGUGAAGAUGCAGUGUACCCGCGGCAAGACGGAAAGACCCCGUGAACCUUUACUAUAGCUUGACACUGAACAUUGAGCCUUGAUGUGUAGGAUAGGUGGGAGGCUUUGAAGCGUGGACGCCAGUCUGCGUGGAGCCAACCUUGAAAUACCACCCUUUAAUGUUUGAUGUUCUAACGUUGGCCCCUGACCGGGGUUGCGGACAGUGUCUGGUGGGUAGUUUGACUGGGGCGGUCUCCUCCCAAAGCGUAACGGAGGAGCACGAAGGUUAGCUAAUCCUGGUCGGACAUCAGGAGGUUAGUGCAAUGGCAUAAGCUAGCUUGACUGCGAGCGUGACGGCGCGAGCAGGUGCGAAAGCAGGUCAUAGUGAUCCGGUGGUUCUGAAUGGAAGGGCCAUCGCUCAACGGAUAAAAGGUACUCCGGGGAUAACAGGCUGAUACCGCCCAAGAGUUCAUAUCGACGGCGGUGUUUGGCACCUCGAUGUCGGCUCAUCACAUCCUGGGGCUGAAGUAGGUCCCAAGGGUAUGGCUGUUCGCCAUUUAAAGUGGUACGCGAGCUGGGUUUAGAACGUCGUGAGACAGUUCGGUCCCUAUCUGCCGUGGGCGCUGGAGAAUUGAGGGGGGCUGCUCCUAGUACGAGAGGACCGGAGUGGACGCAUCACUGGUGUUCGGGUUGUCAUGCCAAUGGCACUGCCCGGUAGCUAAAUGCGGAAGAGAUAAGUGCUGAAAGCAUCUAAGCACGAAACUUGCCCCGAGAUGAGUUCUCCCUGAGACUUUAAGUCUCCUGAAGGAACGUUAAAGACGAUGACGUUGAUAGGCCGGGUGUGUAAGCGCAGCGAUGCGUUGAGCUAACCGGUACUAAUGAACCGUGAGGCUUAACCUU